Molecule: ribosomal RNA, 512 nt
Filed under: uncultured bacterium
Lineage: Bacteria
Description: bacterial SSU rRNA
Rfam family: Bacterial small subunit ribosomal RNA
Source: RNAcentral
AAUCAACGCUGGCGGCGUGCCUAACACAUGCAAGUCGAACGCGAAAGCCCCUUCGGGGGCAAGUAGAGUGGCGUCCGGGUGAGUAACACGUGGGUAAUCUACCUCCGGGUGGGGAAUAACUCGCCGAAAGGCGGGCUAAUACCGCAUAAUGCAGCGGCACCGAAUGGUGAUUAGUUGUUAAAGCGGGGACCUUAGGGCCUCGCGUCUGGAGAGGAGCCUGCGGCAGAUUAGCUUGUUGGUAGGGAAUGGCCUACCAAGGCUGCGAUCUGUAGCUGGUCUGAGAGGACGGCCAGCCACACUGGCACUGACACACGGGCCAGACUCCUACGGGAGGCAGCAGUGGGGAAUUUUGGGCAAUGGGCGAAAGCCUGACCCAGCAACGCCGCGUGAAGGAGGAAAUCCUUCGGGAUGUAAACUUCACAAGCAAGGGAAGAGCGCGCAGGGUCGAAUAAACUCUGCGUCCGACGGUACCUUGCGUAAGCCACGGCUAACUACGUGCCAGCCGCCGCCGU